This is a long non-coding RNA of Populus euphratica (Euphrates poplar), 752 nucleotides long. RefSeq lists it as uncharacterized. NCBI's taxonomy places the organism in Eukaryota, Viridiplantae, Streptophyta, Magnoliopsida, Malpighiales, Salicaceae. The transcript has 2 exons. The record is from RefSeq and is a predicted model, not a curated record.
GCAACUUUAUCGCUGUUAAUUUCAGUUGCUUUGAAUCCCAUUUGUUCCUCAUCAGCAUUAGUUGAGGGAAUCACCAUCCAUCAUUGGUAAAGAAAACAAAUAGUUGAGGGAAUCAAGCUUCACAGCUGGCUCAUCUUUUGUCAGUGGCCACUGGAGAUUGUCACCAACUUUUACCAUGUUAGCAACGAAACACCCUUGUCUAAGAUUCGAGCUAUCGUGAAUUUGCCCUUGGCAAGCUCUAGAGCUUCUCCUUCAUUCAUCAGAUGAACUGCGCAUCCUGGAAUCUGCAACCGAAACUCUUUGUUGAUAGUUUUGGUUUCUGGGUUCUUCUGUUUUGUUAAGAAAGUGAUUUCAGGGCCACCAUGCCGGAAAAUGCCUCCUCUAAUUCUAAUCUUGCCUUCUGUCCGAAGAGAAAUUAUUUUGCUAUCAAUGAAAAGGAAGAAGAAAGACGAGAGGUUGAUGAAAUGACACAACGUUAUACCCCAGGUAGAGUUAUUUGCUUCACCUACCAUGUUGAAAGGCUGUGCUACUUUUGUGGUGCGGAAUGAGAGCUUCAAAUGGAGUUUUCAUGCAUCAGGAACCAGAAGAAUUAAGAUAACCCAACGGGAUGUAAGUUUUCUGUCCAAAACUUCUUAGGGAGAUGAAAUCCCAAAGAUAAUCUACACUUUUUUGUAGCAUUAGAGCAUAGAUCGUUCACAUUUCGGAACAUUAAUACGAUUGAUAGUGGCAAGAAAACAGAGCAUUUUGUCAUA